UACAGAGGGUGCGAGCGUUAAACGGAAUUACUGGGCGUAAAGCGUGCGUAGGCGGUUAUUUAAGUCAGAUGUGAAAUCCCCAGGCUCAACCUGGGAACUGCAUUUGAAACUCCCUUUCUUGAGUAUCGGAGAGGAAAGCGGAAUUCCUGGUGUAGAGGUGAAAUUCGUAGAUAUCAGGAGGAACACCAGCGGCGAAGGCGGCUUUCUGGACGAUAACUGACGCUGAGACGCGAAAGCGUGGGGAGCAAACAGG
RNAcentral lists this ribosomal RNA (253 nucleotides) under uncultured bacterium. RNAcentral's name for it is "partial 16S ribosomal RNA". It matches the Rfam family "Bacterial small subunit ribosomal RNA", at positions 524 to 776 of the family's 1533-position model. The record is from RNAcentral.